CCGAAAAAAGCCACUUGGAAGAAAGAAUGACUAAAGCUGAUGACAACAGAUUGGAAAGAAAAUUAAAAAGCAUCGAAAAACCACAAGACUUUCAAGAUUAGAUAAAAACUGCUCUGGGCAGAUGAGCUGGAGAGGUGGCUCCAAAGAAAAAAAGUGGUGAUGCUGGCCAUUUGAACACGCCUAAAAGAAGCUGGGAAGUGCUUCUGUUAAGUGAAAAGGUAGAAUUUUGCUCUGUUGCCCAGGCUGGAGUGUAAUGGUG
Long non-coding RNA from Rhinopithecus roxellana (golden snub-nosed monkey), 259 nucleotides. RefSeq lists it as uncharacterized. NCBI's taxonomy places the organism in Eukaryota, Metazoa, Chordata, Mammalia, Primates, Cercopithecidae. The transcript is spliced from 3 exons. The record is from RefSeq and is a predicted model, not a curated record.